UAAAGCCGGGGACCGAAAGGCCUGGCGCUUCGCGAUAAGACCCGCGGCCUAUCAGCUAGUUGGCGGGUAAAAGCCCACCAAGGCUAAGACGGGUAGCUGGUCUGAGAGGACGACCAGCCACACUGGAACUGAGACACGGUCCAGACACCUACGGGUGGCAGCAGUCGAGAAUUUUUCACAAUGGGCGAAAGCCUGAUGGAGCGACGCCGCGUGGGGGAUGAAGGGCUUCGGCUCGUAAACCCCUGUCAUUUGCGAACAAAGGCGCCAACCUAACACGUUGUUGUCUGAUAGUAGCAGAAGAGGAAGGGACGGCUAACUCUGUGCCAGCAGCCGCGGUAAUACAGAGGUCCCAAGCGUUGUUCGGAUUCACUGGGCGUAAAGGGUGCGUAGGUGGUGGAUUAAGUCGGGUGUGAAAUCUCCGGGCUCAACCCGGAGCGUGCGCCCGAAACUGAUCCGCUAGAGGAUAGGAGGGGAGACUGGAAUUCUCGGUGUAGAGGUGAAAUUCGUAGAUAUCGAGAGGAACACCGGUGGCGAAGGCGG
RNAcentral lists this ribosomal RNA (540 nucleotides) under uncultured bacterium. Its description in RNAcentral is "bacterial SSU rRNA". It matches the Rfam family "Bacterial small subunit ribosomal RNA", at positions 188 to 724 of the family's 1533-position model. The record is from RNAcentral.